CUGCUACCAAGUAAGUCAACCAGUUCCUUUCCUCAUGGGGCCUUGUGCGCAAUGGCUGUGAACAGCAACCUCCGUGGAAAUGCAUUCAACCUCUUGCCUACAGGGGUUGCCCAAAGGGACCUUGGAUACAGUU
This 133-nucleotide small nucleolar RNA is filed under the name Neotoma lepida (desert woodrat). Its description in RNAcentral is "Small nucleolar RNA SNORA70". It matches the Rfam family "Small nucleolar RNA SNORA70". From Rfam's summary of the family: snoRNA U70 seems to be exclusive to mammals and is a member of the H/ACA class of snoRNA which contain H (ANANNA) and ACA box motifs. H/ACA box snoRNAs are involved in the conversion of uridines to pseudouridines (5-ribosyluracil) a constituent of structural RNAs (transfer, ribosomal, small nuclear, and small nucleolar). Lineage: Eukaryota; Metazoa; Chordata; Mammalia; Rodentia; Cricetidae. The record is from Rfam by way of RNAcentral.